GACGAACGCUGGCGGCGUGCCUAAUACAUGCAAGUAGAACGCUGAAGAGAGGAGCUUGCUCUUCUUGGAUGAGUUGCGAACGGGUGAGUAACGCGUAGGUAACCUGCCUUGUAGCGGGGGAUAACUAUUGGAAACGAUAGCUAAUACCGCAUAACAAUGGAUGACACAUGUCAUUUAUUUGAAAGGGGCAAUUGCUCCACUACAAGAUGGACCUGCGUUGUAUUAGCUAGUAGGUGAGGUAAUGGCUCACCUAGGCGACGAUACAUAGCCGACCUGAGAGGGUGAUCGGCGACACUGGGACGGAGACACGGCCCAGACGACUACGGGAGGAAGCAGUAGGGAAUCUUCGGCAAUGGGGGCAACCCUGACCGAGCAACGCCGCGUGAGUGAAGAAGGGUUUCGGAUCGUAAAGCUCGGUUGUAAGUCAAGAACGGGUGUGAGAGUGGAAAGUUCACACUGUGACGGUAGCUUACCAGAAAGGGACGGCUAACUACGUG
This 497-nucleotide ribosomal RNA is filed under the name uncultured bacterium. RNAcentral describes it as "partial 16S ribosomal RNA". It matches the Rfam family "Bacterial small subunit ribosomal RNA", at positions 28 to 507 of the family's 1533-position model. The record is from RNAcentral.